Molecule: non-coding RNA, 309 nt
Organism: Heterocephalus glaber (naked mole-rat)
Lineage: Eukaryota; Metazoa; Chordata; Mammalia; Rodentia; Bathyergidae
Source: Rfam
GAGUGUGGGGCUUUUCACUCAGAUGCUGUUGGGAAACUCAGAGGAUGAUGAUGGAGGGGCUCCUGGACUGGUGCCUGGGAGGUUUCCUCCCUCACCACUACAUUUGUGUCCCUCUUGAAGCUAAUGCAUUCCGUCAAAGAGGACAACCAUUUCCAAUAGAGGAGGACUGUUUCCUCAGUCAAGGGUAUAUGAGUCAAGCGCUCCCCUGCUAGAACCUCCAAAGAAGUUCUCAAAAUAGGUUAUUGUAUCCCUAGAAUGCAUUAUUCCUUUCUGCAUAGUAAAGUAAAGGCCAACUGCUUUUGAAACCUU